UGCCGCGUGUGUGAAGAAGGCCUUUUGGUUGUAAAGCACUUUAAGCUAGGAGGAGGCUACUUGGAUUAAUACUCUAGGAUAGUGGACGUUACUCGCAAAAUAACCACCGGCUAACUCUGUGCCACCACCCGCGGUAAUACAAAGGGUGCGAGCGUUAAUCGAAUUUACUGGGCGUAAAGCGUGCGUAGGCGGCUUUUUAAUUCGGAUGUGAAAUCCCUGAGCUUAACUUAGGAAUUGCAUUCGAUACUGGGAAGCUAGAGUAUGGGAGAGGAUGGUAGAAUUCCAGGUGUAGCGGUGAAAUGCGUAAAGAUCUGGAGGAAUACCGAUGGCGAAGGCAGCCAUCUGGCCUAAUACUGACGCUGAGGUACGAAAGCAUGGGGAGCAAACAGGAUUAGAUACCCUGGUAGUCCAUGCCGUAAACGAUGUCUACUAGCCGUUGGGGCCUUUGAGGCUUUAGUGGCGCAGCUAACGCGAUAAGUAGACCGCCUGGGGAGUACGGUCGCAAGACUAAAACUCAAAUGAAUUGACGGGGGCCCGCACAAGCGGUGGAGCAUGUGGUUUAAUUCGAUGCAACGCGAAGAACCUUACCUGGUCUUGACAUAGUAAGAACUUUCCAGAGAUGGAUUGGUGCCUUCGGA
This 638-nucleotide ribosomal RNA is filed under the name Acinetobacter schindleri. RNAcentral describes it as "bacterial SSU rRNA". It matches the Rfam family "Bacterial small subunit ribosomal RNA", at positions 395 to 1024 of the family's 1533-position model. The record is from RNAcentral. Lineage: Bacteria; Pseudomonadati; Pseudomonadota; Gammaproteobacteria; Moraxellales; Moraxellaceae.